RNAcentral lists this ribosomal RNA (491 nucleotides) under uncultured bacterium. RNAcentral's name for it is "partial 16S ribosomal RNA". It matches the Rfam family "Bacterial small subunit ribosomal RNA", at positions 28 to 507 of the family's 1533-position model. The record is from RNAcentral.
GAUGAACGCUAGCUACAGGCUUAACACAUGCAAGUCGAGGGGAAACGAUGAGAGAGCUUGCUCUCUUAGUCGUCGACCGGCGCACGGGUGAGUAACGCGUAUCCAACCUGCCUCUGACCAAGGGAUAACCCGUCGAAAGUCGGACUAAUACCUUAUGCAGUCGUCGGAAGUCAUCUGAUGACGACGAAAGAUUUCAUCGGUGAGAGAUGGGGAUGCGUCUGAUUAGCUUGUUGGCGGGGUAACGGCCCACAAAGGCGACGAUCAGUAGGGGUUCUGAGAGGAAGGUCCCCCACAUUGGAACUGAGACACGGUCCAAACUCCUACGGGAGGCAGCAGUGAGGAAUAUUGGUCAAUGGGCGUAAGCCUGAACCAGCCAAGUAGCGUGCAGGAUGACGGCCCUAUGGGUUGUAAACUGCUUUUAUGCGGGGAUAAAGUGAGGGACGUGUCCUUCAUUGCAGGUACCGCAUGAAUAAGGACCGGCUAAUUCCGUG